RNAcentral lists this long non-coding RNA (5846 nucleotides) under Sus scrofa (pig). Its description in RNAcentral is "lncRNA (ENSSSCG00025030636.1)". The record is from RNAcentral. Lineage: Eukaryota; Metazoa; Chordata; Mammalia; Artiodactyla; Suidae.
UCUGGUGCUGGGGGGAGUGGGGGAAGCCUGGGUUCCUACAGGACAGAGGCGGAUGCCCCAAGAGCAUUCUGGAAGACGGGAUGCCUGCUGGGUCGGACACAAGUGGCUCGUGGAGCUGGUGCCCUGGCUUGGGGACAUGGGACAGACACAGGGCAGCUAGAACAACACCCAGAUCUAGGAUCCUGGGGAAUGUAGGGUGAGCCCUGGAAAAUUUCCUCCAUCGUGGGCAACGGGAUGCAGAGACCAGCAGGGGAAGUGUCCUCGGGGCACAGACGGGGCCACCCCGGGCCUCCUCUUCUUUUCAUGUCUCUUCCCUUCCCGUUUUCCAGCUGUAGAAAACGAGAGCGUUGAUUCCAGAAAACUGCAAGAUAACCAUCUGUAUCAGAAAUUCUGUUUUUUUCCCCUCUGUUCUUGGCCUGUCUCCAAAGACCGAGAAGAAAAGUUGCCCCAUAGAAAUCCCCUCGGAAGGACCAGCCAAGGCUCAGAGGAUCAGGUCUGGUAAGUUUCGGUUCCAAGUUCAUUCCCUUGGCUGCUACUGCCGACAGAGCAAAGCCCCCUUGCUUGCAAGGAUGGAUUUUUUUUUUUUUGGACACUUUUGGAGCCUAAGAAGGUGUGGAGGAGCCCACCGAGGCUCUCUUCCAGCUGCACCACAAAGGGGCUUCUGAGAGCAGGUGGAGCGUCCGGGGGUGUGGCUGGAUGAUAACACUUCAUCCCAGCAUCCCCGGCCCUCCUGAGUCUCAAGCUCGCCCGGUGGUGUGGAGAGUGUUAGCUCACAUUCCGCCCUGCAGGCCAUUGAAAUGGCUCUGACUGAAUUAGUCAAAAUGGGGGGGGGGGGCUGUCUUCUAAUCUCCCGGAAAGUCGGGGGUCAGGCAGCUCUGGCACCUUUGCAGUUCCUAGGACUCCGUCUGGUACCAGCUACCCUCUGCUCCUGAGUACUCACCUUACAGGUGCCCAGGAGAGAAACUCACUGUCCACUUCUCACCUUGGGCUCACCCAUGGACGCACCAUGUGACUGGGGAUUUAAGCUGUUGCGAUGAUGCCAGGCAGUUUUGUAUGCCUACCCUGUAAUGGGCAGGAACUAGCGUCUGGUUCCAUCACAAAGCCAGGAAGAGAUGCCGGCGGACUGGAGUGGGAGCCACAUGUGUCCCCCCCUUGGCCACCAGCACAGCUGACACUCCUUAUUCCUGUAGAUGACCCCUGUAACCUAGCGCAGCUCCUCUGCAAACAGCCGCCAGGGUGCUCACUUUCUUGAGGUUGGAAGGGAAAUCCAGAGUCACUCACAGUGUCUCACCCGCCAUGGCUUCCGCGGGGUCGCCAUGUAUGCUGAGUCUCCAGCAGCGUUCUAGCACAGUCCUCCCCUGUCAAAGAAAGGGCACAUUUUCCCAACAGAAGGCGGAAGCACUUUUCUCAUCACGUGGGCUGGCAAGCAGGAACAGCGAAUCGCGAAGCCUCAUUGCAAUGGCUGGUACCCAGGCUGGUACCCAGCGCAUCCAGUCUUCCUCGCCCACGUCUCCACUGCUUCCAUGUGCUGGGGGGCUUUCCUUGGCAGGUGACACACGCGUCGAUUUCCGUAGGGUCUGGCUCUUGGCUUUUCUACGUAGGACCGCAGUGCUUCUCCGUUACCGUCAUCACCAAACACGGAAUCCCCACCGUCCACCCGCCUCCCUCCCUGCUCUUUCUAGGCAGAAGUCUGAUUCCUUCUUUUCUCCCAGCUCGUCUGCAAUUACCUGAUGGUCUAGCUGCAGACCUCCUUCCAGUUCAGUGCGGUCAGCACGCGCCCCAGAACAAAGCACCGGACACUCGGGAACCAGGCCCACGCUUCCUCCCUCACACGCAACUGAGCGGCUCCCACCCCACAGACAACUGGACCUGAAGCUACUCUGUACCUUUCGGAUUUCACAUUUUAGAAAGAGGCAGCCGUCCUUCGAGCCCCUCCGAAAUCCUGCUGGACCUGUCGACGUAUAACUUACCUGUCCUUUGAGCUAGAACCCGGACCCUAAUGGGUUCCCUGCCGGAUUUGCAUUUUGCGAGUCAUUGGAUCUCUCAGGGCCUCAGCCUUCAGCUGCUGUCUUUGUUUCCCCUGGGACUUAUAUGACUUUUUUAUUAAUUUUAGUGCAAAUGGUAUUCUGAAACUUGGAAGCGAUUUGGAAUUGUUCUAGGUCUCUGGCCGCCAAGAACUUGGAAAAUGUACAGUCAGGGGUUGCCCGCAGUGUCAGGGGCUGUAAAGCAGAGAAGCAGCCCCGGGCCUGGGGGGGAGCCAGAGGCGAUACGCUGCCAAGCUGCUGGGCAGUGCAGGGAAGCUGCCGGCCUGGGCAGAGGUGACCCGAACCACAGACCGGGCAGUUACAGCCGUGAUCGCUCUACCAGGAAACUCUCUCAGGUUUGACUUCCACGUGGGUUGGGGGCUAUUUACAGAAGAGCGGCUGUGUUGGUGAAAGGACGUCUGAGGUCAUGCCGCUGGGGCAGACGCCUUAGUCCGCUUCUCCUCCAGGCCCGCCCUGCGCUCUGCAUGUGCGGGGUGGAUCUGUCCCCUGUCCGCAGGAGAGGAUGUGGUGCCCGCCGCUCACGUCCGGCUUGGGGCCAGGUGGCAGCUGCAGGUGGGAGGCCAAGCUUCCCAGGUGCCCCCUGGCCAGAUGGAGAUGCUUCCGGGGACCGGGUGUUUGGGAACUAGCUGUCAGUCCGCAUCUAGAACCACAUGGUCCUGAGCUCCCUGGCAGAGGGAUGUGAGUUUGAGUCAGGGAAGGCUGGCGGGGUGAGGCCGGGGCUGUGAGUUUGGCUCCGUGGCCCCAGGUGAGAAGUGGGGCCAAGACUCUCCCACUCUCUCGGGUGUGUGGGCUGAGAUGCCUCCCACCAAGUGGACCCCAGAAUCCUCACGAAGCCCCUCCUCAGGGCGGAAGGCUCGGGGGAGGGGGGCGGGGGCGUCCUCUUCCCAGCGUGACGGCACCUCCCUGCAGGCCUCCAGAAACCUCACGGGAAGACCAGCCCAGGUGGUCCAGGUCAGGACUGAAGCUGGAGAAGAUUCUCACUCCGUUCAGGACCCACCUGCCCCCAACACGAGGAAGAGCAAACCCAACCUGAGCAGAGAUGGGGGAACGCGCUCCUCCCCGGGUCCUGCUUUGGCCUCGGCUCCCUUGGUGGCUCCAGGCUGGUUUUCGGUCUUGGACAGCGUUCAAAGAUGAGACAAUGCUGUCCCAAGGGCAGGGAAAGCCAUGUCUCCCGAGAGGCCCGGCCUGUCUCCCCAAACCCUCCCUCCAGGGGCCCUUCCCUGUCUGGGCUCCCGGCCCCAGAGGAUCAGGACUCAGAAGUGAGGUUUCCACUCUGAGCAAACGUGAGAAGGGCGCAUGUGCAGGGCGCAGCCCUUGGCACCCAGGAAGACCCUGUCGGGGGGAGGGCAUCUGCAGGAGCUCGGGGGACGUGUGGCUGAGUCACUUUGCUGUACCCCUGAAACUAACACGUGCUGGGAGUCAACUACCCUUCCGCAUGAAACAUGCAUUGAAAAAAACCCAAGAAGGGUAACUUCCCCCGCUCACCGCGUUGGUCCCAGGCGCUAAGCAGAGUUUAAAUCCCCGGGAUCAGCAGGUGAACCGGUUGAGCAGCGUUUUCAAGGAGGGGCGGAGGCUUUCAUCUCCGAGGGCAGCUGAAGGGAUGCCUCCCCUCCCGAGAACGGAGCAAAGGAGUCGGAGUGCCGCGUGUUUCACAGGGGAAAGAGAAACAAUUACAGACUGCAGUAAUCCCAGUAAACAAUUAUUUGAUAAAAUGAUGAAGAUACAUAGAUUUUCAAGUCACAUAUCAUCAUAAGAUUAUUAAAGUGCUGGAAUUUUGAAUAGGAGAACAGACAAUGGACGAUAUUCAGAAGUUCAGAUAAAUAAAAACAAUCAUUUUCCUUUGCAGUGGCAAAUAGUUGAGUAAAUAUAUGGGAACCAGGAGACGCUCCCGUGGAAAACAUUCAUUAAGUCAGUGCUAUUCGGUGGGGGUGGGGGGAGUCUGGAGGGGGAGGUGGGCAGGACACAGGGAGCCAAGCCUGCCCCCCAGUAACCCUCCAGCUCCGCGUUAAAGACAGAGCCCGCCGCACAGCACAGGGGAACCAUGCCAGAGUCUGGAUAACCCGGGUGGGGAGAAAGAAUGGCUACGAGCCUAUGCGUAAUGAGCCGCUUUGCCGUGACCUGAACCUAAUGCGACCUUGUCCGUCAACUCUACUGAAAUAAAAUGAAAUCAUAAAAUAGACGAAAGACAGGUUCACGUUGUCAGGUUGAGUGGAUGUGUUAACCACGCAUGGCCUUCCUCCUUGGAAGGCCCUGCGUCCCCCAGGUGGCAGAGCUCCGACGGGAGGGAGUGAGGAGGUGGUGGAAUAUUCCAGAUGGGAGAUGCACGGGAAGGGGCUGCUCCAGCAGGUGGGGCGGCUGGUCCUGAGGCGUGUGCUGGGUCAGGCCGGCCAGCUGCCCUCUUUCUGUGAAAUACCACCAGAAGAAAUUUCCCCAACAUGGUCUUACUUAGAAGGCAUUGUGCUCACGGAAGAACAAAAUAAUUCCUUCUGCUUCGCAGUAUGUGGAAGUUCCCAGGCCAGGGAUCCAACCUGUGCCACAGCUGUGACCUGAGCCACACCAGUGACAAUGCCAGAUCCUUAGCCCGCCGCGUCACCGGGGAACUCCUCCUUUUGUUGAUAGGACACACCAUCGGAGUCUUUUUCUUCCCAAUUUUAGGUGUGUCUUGGCUUUUGUGUCCGCCUCGCCCCAGUGUUGCUUCCCCACCAAGAGCCUGGCCCGGGCCUCGAGCCCCCUCACUCAGGCUGGCAGUGCAUUCGCUGUUUUGAGCUUCGGUGACCACUCAGGUGCCAGGGGCUCCUUUAUAGCUGCGUAUUUUUCCCUGUGCUUCACCAGCCCUUCAUAGCUGGACUCCCACUGGGCCGUGGGAUGAUGGCUGGACCCGAGGGCGUUGCCCCUCUGAGCACACUGGGUCCUUUCUCCUUGCAGGACCCGCCGGGCAGAGGUUUCUCAAACACCCACAGAACCUGCCAUGUUGCUUUCCUUGUUUGUGUUUUCAUCCUUGGAACUGACAUUUGAGUCAGCUGGAAGCUGCCUGUGGAGGUCACUGCUGUCACCUGCUAGUUGAUGGAUUUUGUCUUGAAGGUGACUCCGUGCUGAAGAGACACUUCAUAAAUGGACCCCUUUCUGACCAGCCCCACAAAUCUUAGCCCAGAUUCACUGUGCCCCUUACUCUUCUCCUGCCUCUUCAUAAACCGCUAAGGACUCUUGUUGGAUCUGUGGCUGAAGAUGCCAGGAUCUGAGCCCCACAGGGUCAGCAUCUGUGUUCUGGAUGUACCACCACAAAGGGCACCCCCCAGGACACAGAGAGCGCUUGGCGGGCUUGCAGGGCCCUGAGCCCCGCGUGCAAUCAGAGUCGGGGCACCUGUCAGCCCCCGGCAACCUCCCCCUUGGCUCCGGAAGCCGUGCCCUCCGUGAGUCCAGCUCUUGCUGGGUGUGAUCGCCAGCCUUUGGUGCUGGCAGAGAGGUAGCGUCUGAUGAGCAGCCGUAUGGUAAGUUAUUCACCAAUAUUUGUGGGCUGGCCACACAGCAAUAUCACUUUUAUCUUUGCAGCGUCCAGCGGUGGGUGGGGCUGGCUCGCAUGGUUCGGGAGACCCCACGGUCAAGAGUUCAGGAGUGUUUACACCACAGAAAUGGACAAGCACUGGCAUCAAGCCCUCACCCUGCUUGGCCUGCCCAUGGCUGCGAUGCCACGGGUAGAAUCAUGGCAGGCCGUCGGACUCAGGUUACACCAAGGCUGUUAUUCCAGACUCUACCCAGGUGGGGUCGUGAGGGUUUGAAGGACAUGAUUUGAUCCAUGCAACA